Molecule: long non-coding RNA, 243 nt
Organism: Oxyura jamaicensis (ruddy duck)
Lineage: Eukaryota; Metazoa; Chordata; Aves; Anseriformes; Anatidae
Exons: 3
Source: RefSeq, a predicted model, not a curated record
UGGGUAUAUCUGGAGAUGUUCCUGGAGUGCGUGGAAGACAGCUUCCUGACUCAGCUGCUUAGUGAGCCUAUCAGAGGGGGUGCCCCACUAGACCUGCUGUUCAUGAACAGAGAAGGACUGGUGGGAGAUGUGGUGGUAGUGAGUUGUCUUGGGCAAAGUGACCAUGACAUGGGAGACUUCUCUAUUCUUUUUGAAGUCAGGAGGGGUGUCAGUAAAACUGCUACCUUGGACUUCCGGAGGGCA